CAUCAUCGUCGUCUCCAUCUUCUUCGGUCCUUUUUUUUUUCUUAAGCUUCCAACAUAGGUGGGCGGAAGAUCAGGGCAUCAUAAUCUUCUUCCUCCCUUUUUCUUUUUCCCCUAUUAAGAGGGUUGCAGCACAAGGGGAAAGUGAGGAUUGAUCAAGAGGGCUGAGGAGGGAGAGUGAGUGAAAUAAGAAGGUGGUUGCAAGGGCGGAGAGGGUUGCAGCACAAGGGGAAAGUGAGGAUUGAUCAGUAGGGCUGAGGAGAGGGAGAGAGAGAGAUAGAGGGCAGUUGCAGGGGCGGAGGUUGCAGAGACGACUGUCGUCGGACCUACAAGUGAACCCACCAUUUUACCCAUCUGAAACCCCUGUUAUUGAAAACCAUAACCAGACCCCUGGCUGAAAUCCUUGCUGCUGUUGUCCGAUUUGCAAGUGAACUCACUAUGCAUCGGACCUGUAACCUCUGAUUUGUUUCAAUAUCUUCGCCUGCACUUGUGAUCGUCAGCCAUGAGAACAUGAGAGGGAUCGGGGUCAUGGGAAGUUGCAGACUAGGAGGUUGCACAGGCUUGCAAAGGUGACGGUUACUUGAGUUGUUGAAGGCUUGCUCCAUCUCCAACCACUUUUCGUAGGAUUUUUACCAAAGUCCUUCCAAAUUAGUGGGACAUUGGAAAGGACUGAGGUGGGAGAAUCUCUGGGACACGUCGGCCGAUAAUAAAACUAGAGGAACAGAAGGCUGUCUAUAUAUUUUCUCACACCCUUUCAUUCAAACAACCUAAAAUCUCACAGGGUGGGAUAGUUGUAGGAGAGUCAUACAACUAUCCCAACCCUCAACUCCCACCCUACCAAAACCCUUCUAAACAAACGGGUUCUAUGAGAAUAUCAUUCUCGUGGACCUGAUCUCAUUGUCCAUCCCCAUUGAAGACCGCCAAAACCCAAAAUUUUGAGCUUGUGGCCCCCACACUGCGCCACUGAUGACCAUUCGUCCAAGAACAGAUUAAAUUUUCUUUUAUGGCUUGUUUCAAGCUAUUUUCAUUUCGAUUUCUUCUGUUCCGAGCCGACUACUGAGGAAACUCGUGAUCAAAUCAAGUUUCUACUCGUAAAUCUCUUAUCGUUCUUACGGGGAAAAAAUGCAAAAUGCAAA
Molecule: long non-coding RNA, 1133 nt
Organism: Macadamia integrifolia
Lineage: Eukaryota; Viridiplantae; Streptophyta; Magnoliopsida; Proteales; Proteaceae
Exons: 3
Source: RefSeq, a predicted model, not a curated record